Bacteroides sp. CAG:770 is the source of this 82-nucleotide non-coding RNA. NCBI's taxonomy places the organism in Bacteria, Pseudomonadati, Bacteroidota, Bacteroidia, Bacteroidales, Bacteroidaceae. The record is from Rfam.
GCGAGCGUGUUGUAAUUGGUAGCCAAGCCAGACUUAGGAUCUGGUGCCUUCGUGCGUAUGGGUUCGAGUCCCUUCGCUCGCA